RNAcentral lists this ribosomal RNA (440 nucleotides) under uncultured bacterium. Its description in RNAcentral is "partial 16S ribosomal RNA". It matches the Rfam family "Bacterial small subunit ribosomal RNA", at positions 338 to 795 of the family's 1533-position model. The record is from RNAcentral.
CCUACGGGGGGCAGCAGUGGGGAAUAUUGCACAAUGGGGGAAACCCUGAUGCAGCGACGCCGCGUGAGUGAAGAAGUAACUCGUUAUGUAAAGCCCUAUCAGCAGGGAAGAAAAUGACGGUACCUGAGUCAGAAGCCCCGGUUAACUACGUGCCAGCAGCCGCGGUAAUACGUAGGGGGCAAGCGUUAUUCGGAUUUAUUGGGUGUAAAGGGAGCGUAGGUGGCAGUGCAAGUCUGGAGUGAAAGGCGGGGGCUCAACCCCCGGACUGCUCUGGAAACUGGACGGCUGGAGUGCAGGAGAGGUAAGUGGAAUUCGUGGUGUAGCGGUGAAAUGCGUAGAUAUUAGGAGGAACACCAGUGGCGAAGGCGGCUUACUGGACUGUAACUGACGUUGAGGCUCGAAAGCGUGGGGAGCAAACAGGAUUAGAUACCCCGGUAGUC